GAGUGCCUGCGCGCCGAACCCCGGCGGGCAGCAUCCGUCCAGCCGCUCAGCACCACCCGCGCCUCCAACGGGAGAGCCGCAGGUCUAUCCCAAGUCUCAGGCUGCAACGGAUGGCAGUGCCCCGGCAAGGGACGCAACGCGGCCUUCCCCUGCGGCAAUUUACAAGCGGGCGCCUUUUCUGUGCAUCCCCUAUGUCCCUGCGAAACCGAGCGGAAGGGGAAGGUGGGGGGGGAGCAGGGAAGUGCAGAGGUGUUCGCGGAAAGCUCUGCACCCCGAUUGUUGCUAGCUCCAUCUCGCAGGGUGAGAUAAUGGGCACAGAGAAGUUUAGUAACUUGCCUGAGGUCACACAGCCUGUAGCUGCUGACCCGGCUGCAAACCCAUGGCCUAUAGCAAGAGGC
Molecule: long non-coding RNA, 398 nt
Filed under: Homo sapiens (human)
Lineage: Eukaryota; Metazoa; Chordata; Mammalia; Primates; Hominidae
Description: non-protein coding lnc-IRF1-5:1
Source: RNAcentral